CUUGUUUUUCUUCUAGAUUCAUGAAAAGCUCUACUACUAUGAGAAGUAGAACCCCGUGCCCAUCCUCCACAGCACAGCAGUCUUGGCUGAUGAUGUCUGUAUGAGCUGUUGGCUGUUCUGCCAGUCCAGCUGGGGCCACCUGUGGACAGCUAGGAAGACCUGACCUUCCUCUGGGGUAUGUUUGGUGAGAAAAGCCUGCAUUCACUGGUAAAGGACUGCUCUCCACUUGGCCUGUGCCAUUGGCCGUGUAGAUGUGGUGAAGUACCUGCUCGCUUGGAAAUGCGAUGUCAACCUCCGUGAUGGAGAAAACAGGACAGCUCUAGUGAAGGCUGUCCAGUGCCAAGAAGAGGCAUGUGUAGAUAUUCUGCUCAAAAAAGGUGCUGAUCCAAAUGCUAAGGACUUCAAGGGAAACACCGCUCUCCAUUAUGCGGCCUUUGAGGGGAAUAUCUUAAUAGCACAGAAGCUGCUUUUUAACAAAGGAGAGAUAGAGGCCAAAAACAAGGAUGGCCUCACACCAGUUUUAGUUGCUCUAAAUGAAAACAAAGAGCAAAUGGUGAAAUUUUUAGUAGGAAAAGGAGCACGUCUACUUUCAGGGGAUACGGUUAAAAGCAGUGACCAACUAAUUUCUGAACAUGAAGAAGAAAUGAAACCUGAAAAUUCUUCACAGAAUCAUGAUCUAGUGGCUAAGAAGUCUGAAGAAGUCUCUUUAAGCAGGUAGGACUUUUAUGGAUUUUUUUAAAAUGAUGUGUUAACCAAGGAAGUGGAGAGGAAAGGAUUUGUUGAGUGUUGUCUUCUGGGCUAGACACUGUAUUAUGUGCUUAAUACGUCUUACUUAUUACUUAUUAGUCAUUGCAAUAGUUUCACCAAGGAGCUGUGCUGUUAUAGCCUACUUUUUUUUAACUAGUCAGCUGUAGUUCAGGGAGAUGGAUAAACUGACCCAGGAUUCCAUAGUUAAUGAGUAGCAGACCCAUGAUUUGAAUGUUAGCCUGCGUGGCUCCCACAUACAUGUUUUGCCCCUCAGCAGCACUGGAAUUAAGAUACAGAUCUUAGAUCAUCCCAGAAUGUCAAAUUUCAUUACAUGUUAACUCUGAUUUAGAGUUUUCUUAAGAACCAGGCAAGUCCAAGCAUUUUCCUAAUAUAUUUGACACAACUAGUGAUAGCUAGAGGUAAUUAUUGCAGUGGUAACUAGUUUCUUGUUUUUACUGUCAAAGAUUUUGGAGUGGAUCUCAGUUACCUAUGGCCACAGUACCAUAGCUUUUACAUAAGCAAGCCCUAAUCAGGCAAGCUCUUAGAUAUAGUGACGUCUGCUCUCCUUGAGAUGAAUGAUAUUUCUGAAAGUGAAGGAUAUGUAAUCUAGGUAUAGACCAUGUAACGUUAAUUAAAUUUAUCAUCUAUUUAGAGGGUAUUUCUAAACAGUUGUCUAUUUACUGACUUCUCAGUCUAAUUUUCCCUUUAGGCUGGCACCCUUGAUAAGUUCUGUGAAGCUUUUUCUUUUUUUGUAGACUUUUUUGCUUUUAUCCAUGUCCUUUCUAUACUCUUUUCUUGAUUUUUUUAAACUUUCUUCUCCAAUUUUCUUGCUGUUUCUUUUAUUCCAUUACUUUUUAUCAUUUCUGCAGCUAAGGAUUCUCCAUUUUUCUAAAGACAAAAUGAAAAGCAGAUAGAAUUUCAGGGUUUUAAAGAAUCUUAGAGAUGUGUUAAUCAAAAUACUCUCUGAUGCUGUAACCCAUGUUUAACAUCCUUACCAAGUGGUUGUUGAAGUGGAGAAUUUGAAACUCAAAAGGGAUUAAAGUGACUUACUUGAAUUUGAUAACUGACAGAAAUGAGAUUUAAAUUUAGAUUUUUUCCCUUUUCUCUCAUCUUUGAUUUAAUAAUAUAAAG
Long non-coding RNA from Canis lupus familiaris (dog), 1878 nucleotides. RefSeq lists it as uncharacterized. The transcript is spliced from 7 exons. The record is from RefSeq and is a predicted model, not a curated record. NCBI's taxonomy places the organism in Eukaryota, Metazoa, Chordata, Mammalia, Carnivora, Canidae.